RNAcentral lists this transfer RNA (611 nucleotides) under uncultured Prochlorococcus sp. RNAcentral's name for it is "partial contains 16S ribosomal RNA, 16S-23S ribosomal RNA intergenic spacer, and 23S ribosomal RNA". The stretch from base 227 to 299 matches the Rfam family "tRNA". The record is from RNAcentral. Lineage: Bacteria; Bacillati; Cyanobacteriota; Cyanophyceae; Synechococcales; Prochlorococcaceae.
UGGAUCACCUCCUAACAGGGAGACAACAAAAUGUUUAAUAUUAUUAUUUUGUCACCUUAGGUCGAUCGGUAUCUCACAUUUUUAAUUUAUUAAGAAUUUCAUUUCCUAAGUUUUUCUAGGUCACACCCAUUAUUUUUCCUGGGCCAUUAGCUCAGGUGGUUAGAGCGCACCCCUGAUAAGGGUGAGGUCCCUGGUUCAAGUCCAGGAUGGCCCAUAUCUCUAUGUUGGGGGUAUAGCUCAGUUGGUAGAGCGCCUGCUUUGCAAGCAGGAUGUCAGCGGUUCGAGUCCGCUUACCUCCACUGAUUACCACCUCUUCCAUAAUUGGUAGAAAGGAAAUGUUUUGAGUUGUGAUCUAAUUCUGAACGAAUCUAGCUUCCUAAUGUAAUUAUUAAGAUGCUGGACUCAUUGAAUUAAUUUCAUUGUUUUCAGAGAACCUUGACAACUGCAUAGAUUAUUUUUAAAGACAAUAAGCAUCUUUUUAUGAUGCAGAUUUAUUAUUUGUGCGAAUGCAUUAAUAACAAUUCUAUUAAGCUGAUGCUUCAAUUUUGAAGUUAUUGGUCAAGCUACAAAGGGCUCACGGAGGAUACCUAGGCACACAGAGGCGAUGAAGG